UAGGGAAUCUUCGGCAAUGGGGGGAACCCUGACCGAGCAACGCCGCGUGAGUGAAGAAGGUUUUCGGAUCGUAAAGCUCUGUUGUUAAGGAAGAACGAGUGUGAGAAGGGAAAGUUCAUGCUGUGACGGUACUUAACCAGAAAGGGACGGCUAACUACGUGCCAGCAGCCGCGGUAAUACGUAGGUCCCGAGCGUUGUCCGGAUUUAUUGGGCGUAAAGCGAGCGCAGGCGGUUAGAAAAGUCUGAAGUGAAAGGCAGUGGCUCAACCAUUGUAGGCUUUGGAAACUGUUUAACUUGAGUGCAGAAGGGGAGAGUGGAAUUCCAUGUGUAGCGGUGAAAUGCGUAGAUAUAUGGAGGAACACCGGUGGCGAAGGCGGCUCUCUGGUCUGUAACUGACGCUGAGGCUCGAAAGCGUUGGUAGCGAACAGG
RNAcentral lists this ribosomal RNA (429 nucleotides) under Bacteroidota bacterium. RNAcentral's name for it is "Bacteroidetes bacterium partial 16S ribosomal RNA". It matches the Rfam family "Bacterial small subunit ribosomal RNA", at positions 355 to 776 of the family's 1533-position model. The record is from RNAcentral. Lineage: Bacteria; Pseudomonadati; Bacteroidota.